Molecule: ribosomal RNA, 484 nt
Filed under: uncultured bacterium
Lineage: Bacteria
Description: partial 16S ribosomal RNA
Rfam family: Bacterial small subunit ribosomal RNA
Source: RNAcentral
AUUGAACGCUAGCGGGAUGCUUUACACAUGCAAGUCGAACGGCAGCGCGGACUUCGGUCUGGCGGCGAGUGGCGAACGGGUGAGUAAUGUAUCGGAACGUGCCCAGUAGCGGGGGAUAACUACGCGAAAGCGUAGCUAAUACCGCAUACGCCCUACGGGGGAAAGCAGGGGAUCGUAAGACCUUGCACUAUUGGAGCGGCCGAUAUCGGAUUAGCUAGUUGGUGAGGUAACGGCUCACCAAGGCGACGAUCCGUAGCUGGUUUGAGAGGACGACCAGCCACACUGGGACUGAGACACGGCCCAGACUCCUACGGGAGGCAGCAGUGGGGAAUUUUGGACAAUGGGGGCAACCCUGAUCCAGCCAUGCCGCGUGUGCGAUGAAGGCCUUCGGGUUGUAAAGCACUUUUGGCAGGAAAGAAACGUCGCGGGCUAAUACCCCGUGGAACUGACGGUACCUGCAGAAUAAGCACCGGCUAACUACGUG